This 466-nucleotide ribosomal RNA is filed under the name uncultured bacterium. Its description in RNAcentral is "partial 16S ribosomal RNA". It matches the Rfam family "Bacterial small subunit ribosomal RNA", at positions 28 to 507 of the family's 1533-position model. The record is from RNAcentral.
GACGAACGCUGGCGGCGUGCUUAACACAUGCAAGUCGAACGGAAAGGCCCUGCUUUUGUGGGGUGCUCGAGUGGCGAACGGGUGUAACACGUGAGUAACCCGUCCUCGACUUUUUGAGAACUUUACAAAACUGGGGCUCAUACCCGAUAGGAGCUCCCGCUCCAGGGUGGGGGGUGGGAAGUUUCGGCGGUUGGGGAUGGACUCGCGGCUUAUCAGCUUGUUGGUGGGGGAGUGGGUUACCAAGGCUUUGACGGGUAGCCGGCCUGAGAGGGUGACCGGCCACAUUGGGACUGAGAUACGGCCCAGACUCCUACGGGAGGCAGCAGUGGGGAAUAUUGCACAAUGGGCGGAAGCCUGAUGCAGCAACGCCGCGUGCGGGAUGACGGCCUUCGGGUUGUAAACCGCUUUCGCCUGUGACGAAGCGUGAGUGACGGUAAUGGGUAAAGAAGCACCGGCUAACUACGUG